This 497-nucleotide ribosomal RNA is filed under the name uncultured bacterium. RNAcentral's name for it is "partial 16S ribosomal RNA". It matches the Rfam family "Bacterial small subunit ribosomal RNA", at positions 28 to 507 of the family's 1533-position model. The record is from RNAcentral.
GAUGAACGCUGGCGGCGUGCCUAAUACAUGCAAGUCGAGCGAACAGACGAGGAGCUUGCUCCUCUGACGUUAGCGGCGGACGGGUGAGUAACACGUGGAUAACCUACCUAUAAGACUGGGAUAACUUCGGGAAACCGGAGCUAAUACCGGAUAAUAUAUUGAACCGCAUGGUUCAAUAGUGAAAGACGGUUUUGCUGUCACUUAUAGAUGGUUCCGCGCCGCAUUAGCUAGUUGGUAAGGUAACGGCUUACCAAGGCAACGAUGCGUAGCCGACCUGAGAGGGUGAUCGGCCACACUGGAACUGAGACACGGUCCAGACUCCUACGGGAGGCAGCAGUAGGGAAUCUUCCGCAAUGGGCGAAAGCCUGACGGAGCAACGCCGCGUGAGUGAUGAAGGUCUUCGGAUCGUAAAACUCUGUUAGUAGGGAAGAACAAAUGUGUAAGUAACUAUGCACGUCUUGACGGUACCUAAUCAGAAAGCCACGGCUAACUACGUG